GGAGGGGGUUGGGGGAGAGAGAGAACAGGCAAUAGGAAGAACUGAGAAGGAGUGGGAUAGGGACCCGGAGUUAUGGGGAGUCAGAUUAAGCGACCCGAGAAGCGGCGGACUUAUCUGGAGCUGGAGUCACCGGAGCCCCUGCCGCUCCGGCUGCCCCAGUGAGCCCCGGCUCCCAGCGCCCGGUGGCUGCAGUCCAGACCUCCGAGCGACUCGGGCGGAAGUCGCAGUCUGCGCGGGCCUCCAACACCUUGUUUUGCCCCGGCCCCGCCCGCCGAGCGCCGAGAGCAAGCGCCGAAGUUGCACAACGUGGAGCUGUCUGGCCAGGACACUGGGAAUCCGCGUCCAGGUUGCAUCCAGCUGGGUACCCGAUGCAGCGCCCGCCUACUAGGAUCAGCUGCCUUCUUCGGUCACCUUACGACCGGAGAUGGGGUUCCCGGCGUCCGCGAGGGACAAGGAUCCCGGCUGCUCUAGAGCCUCCAGUCCCAAGUUGCUCCUCUGCUGCGUCUCAGGGCGCCACGCGAGACCACUGAUGUGCACAACCAGUGCCCCUCAUCCAACACCACCAGAGAAGCCCAUGUAAAUGCCUGGGGAGACUAUGGCAGUUACUGAGGGGACAGUCUCUUUGGAAGGAGGAAGACUCACAUCCUGGGGCACCUGGAUGAAGGCAAAGGCAUACUCCGUGGCUUGAGCUGGCAGUACACGAGUGCUGAAGGCAGGGGGCAGGGUCCCCAGGCGGGUGGAUGGCAGGAUCUCUCUCUGCAGAGGAAGCACCAGGCCAACAGUAUAACAUAUUCAAUGAUCCCUUGCUCUCAAGGACAACCCUCUGUGACAGGCCUCUGGGAAUUCCAACUCUGGGUCUUCCUUGCUGGCCCACAACUUGGUUCUACUUAGCCAUGCACAGCUGGUUAGCCCUGGAAGCACAGGUCCUACUGAGCAGGCAGCCAGCAGGGAAGCUGUGAUUCCUGCCCUCUCACUCUGGGCUUGGUUCUGGCACACUUGGUGGUUCCCAUUAAUAUAAUCAUGGUGACAGCUGGA
This is a non-coding RNA of Ictidomys tridecemlineatus (thirteen-lined ground squirrel), 1035 nucleotides long. The record is from RefSeq and is a predicted model, not a curated record. Lineage: Eukaryota; Metazoa; Chordata; Mammalia; Rodentia; Sciuridae.